UGGCUGCAGCGGUCCUCUUGGUCCAUGUCCAGGGGGAACCUGGGCUGCUAGGUGCGUGGGGGUGAGGCCAUGCUAAAUCACGGCACUGGUGCUUCUGAGGGCGCCCUCGCGAAGCGGAUCCCCUUCUCGGUUGGCUGCUCGGCAUCGCCAGAAGGGGAAGGACUCCGGGAGUGAUCUCAACCUGGAGGCCAGGCUUGACUGUGACCGACCUCCGCACGCUGCCAUCCUCCAGCUCCACACUCUCCUGCCUACCGGGCUGGCGUGCGAUCCGGGAGAUCCAGGCCGGGUUUUGGGCGGAGCGCUGAGGCUGCGAGCACUAAAGCUGCGGGCGCGGAUUCCUCGUUCGUCGCCCUCUGCCGCAGACCCCGGCGCGACAUCAUGGUGCUGGACGAACUGUGGACCUCGCUCUCCGGAGCCUCCGGGGCUGCCCUGGCCUGCUGCUUCGUGGCGGUGGUGGUGGCCCUCCGCUGGUCGGGUCGCCGGACAGCGCUGGGCGCGAGGGCGCGGGCGCGGCAGAGGCAGCUAGCGGGCCUGGAGACCAUGGACCAGGCGGCGCGGCGCUUCCGGCUCCAGAACCCCAACCUGGACUCUGAGGCACUGUUGGCCUUGUCCCUGUCUGAACUGGUACAGAAGUUACACAGUGGGGAGCUGUCCCCAGAAGCUGCCCUCUUCACCUAUGUGGGAAAGGCCUGGGAAGUGAACAGAGAGCUCAACUGUGUAACCUCCUACCUGGCUGACUGUGAGACUCAGCUGCGCCAGGCCCCACGUCAAGGCCUGCUCUACGGUGUCCCUGUGAGCCUCAAGGAGUGCUUCAGUUACAAGGGCCAGAACUCAACGCUGGGCUUGAGCCUGAAUGAGGGGGUGCCAGCCGAGGUCGACAGCGUGGUGGUACAGGUGCUAAAGUUGCAGGGUGCCAUGCCCUUUGUGCACACCAAUGUCCCCCAGUCCAUGAUCAGCUAUGACUGCAGUAACCCCCUCUUUGGGCGGACCGUGAAUCCAUGGAAGUCCUCGAAGAGCCCAGGUGGCUCCUCAGGGGGUGAGGGGGCCCUCAUUGCAUCUGGAGGCUCACCCCUGGGUUUGGGCACUGACAUUGGUGGCAGCAUCCGUUUCCCUUCUGCCUUCUGUGGCGUCUGCGGCCUCAAGCCUACUGGGAACCGCCUCAGCAAGAAUGGCCUGAAGGGCUGUAUCCAUGGACAGAGCGCAGUGCAGCUCUCUGUUGGCCCCAUUGCUCGGGAUGUGGAGAGCCUGGCCCUGUGCCUGCGGGCUCUUUUGUGUGAGGACAUGUUUCGCCUGGACCCCACCGUGCCACCCCUGCCCUUCCAGGAGGAGGUUUACACAAGCUCCCAGCCCCUGCGUGUGGGAUACUAUGAGACUGACAACUAUACCAGGCCCAGCCCGGCCAUGAAGCGGGCCCUGCUGGAGACCAAGCAGAGGCUUGAAGCGGCUGGUCACACGCUUAUUCCCUUCCUGCCAAGUGACAUACCCUAUGCUCUGGAGACACUGUGUGCAGGUGGGCUGUUCAGUGAUGGUGGCCACAGCUUCCUCCAGAACUUCAAAGGUGAUUUUGUAGACCCCUGCCUGGGAGACCUGACCUUAAUUCUGAAACUACCCAGCUGGCUUAAAGGACUUCUGGCCUUCCUGCUGAAGCCUCUGUUCCCGCGGCUGGCAGCCUUUCUCAGCAGCAUGAGGCCUCGGUCAGCUGGAAAACUCUGGGAGCUACAGCACAAAAUUGAGGAGUACCAGAAAUCUGUGAUUGCUGAGUGGAGAGCGCUGAACCUGGAUGUGCUACUGACCCCGAUGCUGGGCCCGGCUCUGGACCUGAAUGCUGCAGGAAGGGCCACAGCCUUUGUGGCAUGUUUCAGGGGCCAUCAGCUACACCGUCCUUUAUAACUGCCUGGAUUUCCCUGCGGGAGUGGUGCCUGUCACCACGGUGACCACUGAGGAUGAGGCCCAGAUGGAACAUUACAGGGGCUACUUUGGGGAUAUCUGGGACACGGUAUUACAGAAGGCCCUGAAGAACAGUGUGGGGCUGCCCGUGGCCGUGCAAUGUGUGGCUCUGCCCUGGCAGGAAGAGCUGUGUCUGCGGUUCAUGCGGGAGGUGGAGCAGCUGAUGACCCCUGAGAAGCGGCCAUCCUGAGGGCUGCCAGCCACUUGGCUCCAAAGGCCCCAGCAGAACAUACCCUGUAACCCAGCCCAAUGGGGCACAUGGCCACCCUGUGAGGAAAUACUCAGCAUGGGGCCGAGGCUUCUGUGUCCCCUUCCCUGAGCCCCUGCCAAAGACUCCCCAAGUCUGGAUCUUGUUUCCCUCUCUGGUCUCCUUUCCAUCCUGACCCCCAUCCUACCCCCACACUUAUGGCAACCAGCAGGGCCAAGACUACCAAUAAGUCAAAAAAUGUUUCCUCGCUGAGGGCUGCUGGGACUGGAGCCUAUUGAAAGCAGGGCUGGCUUGAUCUUCCAGAGCCAGGUGUCAGUCACGUCACCCUUCUGCCCCCAAGCCCCCCAAGUCUCCAUUACCCUUAGGAGGGACACGUACAGUGUCUCCAGCACUUUAUUCCAGCCCCUCCUCUCUUGCUUGGACUCACUCAGGGUUUGCUAGAUACUGACCUUGGUUUCUCCUCCUCUGUUCUCUGCCCUUCCUGCUCCUCUGCCACUCAGUACUUGAAGGCCUGGGCCAGACCCUUCUUUCUCCAGGAGGCUUUCUGUGUUGCUUCUGGGCCCUGGAAGGUGUGAGCUCUUUCCUGCCAGGCUCCCCUAUAUGGGGCAUCUGUGGCAGGUGUCUCCCUAACCAGCUCUCCUAAAUGGUGGGGACCACAUAGCUAUGUCUUUGUGUCCUGUGGCCAGCACAGGGCAACAGGGUGGGCACCUGAGUUGGGCUGUAGGGAAUUGAAUGGACACCGGCCUUGAGCCAGUGCUCUUGGGCCAAGGAGCCCACAGGCCUGGGGUUGGUGGUCAGUGAUCUGGGGAGAGUGUUCAGUUGCAGGGUCAGCUGAAGCCUGCCUUGUUCUGUUAGUCCAGAAAGUUUUUCAUGCCAAGGAACAGGGAAUGAGGGCAUUCCUGGGAGGAAGUACUGUAUGUCCAAGACCAGGGUGAGCUUGGAUGAGCAGGGAUGUUGAAUGGGUACAGAGGAAACAGAGGUGUAAAUAAGCCAGGUCAGCAACUCGAAUUCUGUCUCAAAGGCAAUGGCUUGUGAAGGGCCAUAUAGGCUCAGUGAGGGGAGCAGACAGAGUAAGAGUGCUGCUGCUGACUGCUGAUCUGGGAGAGGGGAGAGGGCUGGAGAGACUGCCUGAGGAUGGGUACUUGGGGUACAGGUAAGCUGUUUCAUCUCAGAGUCUCGGUCCUGCUCUGGCUGCCUGCUCAUGUCUCUUACUGGGCUGAGUUGCCUGGCAGGGGGAGCAUAGUUUGUGGGGGACUGAGCACCUUCCACAGAAUUCCCCAUCUGCCGGCCCCAGCCUAACUCUUUUGUGGUCUGGAGAAGGCUGAGAGUCUGAUCACUCAUGGUAGGGCAGGUACUGGCCCACACCUGGCCUAUUUUACAUUUUCUUCCAACCAAAUUGCCUUUCCAAGGCUUUCUUCUCCACCCUGAUUUCCCUGUUCCUCGGUGCCUUUCCUCCCAGCUUACUGCCCACUGGAGUCCAUGCCCCUACCAAACUGCCCUAUCUGGAGGACCCACACCUUGGGGGUGGCUGACUCAAGGGCCCAACCUGCAUUGAGACACCUAGAUUGAGAUAAGUAGGUUCUUGCCACACUUUGCCUUGGUUCCUCCUAACUUGACAACUGCCUUAUAAUAGCUGUUGUAAUUUUCUCUCAUUGUCCCAUAAAACCAUCUGUCACCUGUGCCAGCUUCCUGUUUCUCCCACCCAUUUCUCUUUCAGUGACUGGUAGACUUGUCCUUUCAGACCCAAGGUGGGGAUGCCAUUCCUUUAUUCUUUCGCUGCUGGUUCUUGAUUUCAGCCUUCCAGACCCCUAGUCUGGCUACAUCCAGCCCUGUGCUUAGUGGGGCUGGAGACGGAAGCCUGGCUGCCAUCCUUGAGAGGGAAUUGACAUACACAACUGCUCCCUAGUGACUGAUAAGAUUUUUGUCGUGAUAAGAAAGACAAAGCAGGGGCUGGGGAUUUAGCUCAGCGGCAUAAGCACCUGCCUUGCAAGCAGGCAGUCGUGAGUUCGAUCCCUGGUACCGAUAAAAAUGAAAAAGACAAAAAAAAAAAAAAAAAAAAAAAAAAGCAGAAAAGAGGCCUUUAUUGUGGGCACAGGAGGGCUACAGAAGAGAAGCAAGCACUCUUGGAACAAAGUAGAAGUGCUUUUAUCAGGUCUGGCUGGAGGAGGAGUUUGGGAGUUGGGUAACAUGACAUAGCAACAACUGAUUUGAAGCCACACAUGUAUGCACAAAAACAGGAAACAUUAACUGGGGGCUGGGGUAGGGCACUUGGGUGGUUGUAGAGUCUUGGGAUUGGAGAGGGCUCAGCACCUAUGCAAAAAAGGAGCAGGGGGUUUAUUUCUGGAACUAGAAGAACGUAGAAGUUACUCUUGGAGUAACUCUUGCUUCUCUGGGCCUGGUACCAAGUUGGGUGGAUGUCAUGUUAGAGAUAGCUAAGCCUCAGGCUGGCAGAAUCUAUCAAUAACCUGGGCCAGGUCAAGGGGGCACAAGGAUGGGGCCCCUUGCAGCUGAGGGAAGAGAAGGGGUCACAGAGGCACAAAGCUAUCCACUGUGGUACAUGUCCACCAUCAUGCUUUCGUCCCAGCUACCCGCCUUUCAUCCAGGUAGAGUGGUAACUUCCUAGCCCUCGGCCUCCCUGCUUCCAUGUUUGCCAGCCCUCAGUCCCUUCAAGAGUGAUCCUUCAGGAGUCAGUCAUAGUUGAAUCACUCUGCUGAAGACCUCCCACUGGAAUAGAAUCCAGUCUCCUCGUGGGACACAGCUCCUGUCCACCUCUUCAGUCUCCUCUUGUAGGUUUCUUCCUCUCAUCUACUGUGCUCUGGCCACACAAGCACUUUGGUUUCUUGGUCAUCUGGAGCUGGUCUCUGCUUCAGAGUUUUUGUGUUAGCUGUUCCUCUGUGUCACCUUCCCUCACACCAGCUGUCACUUUCUAACAUGUUACCCUUUGUACAUUUUCUUUAAAAAUAGAAUUCUUUCUAUCUAAAAUCA
Molecule: RNA transcript, 5140 nt
Organism: Cavia porcellus (domestic guinea pig)
Lineage: Eukaryota; Metazoa; Chordata; Mammalia; Rodentia; Caviidae
Gene: Faah
Gene name: fatty acid amide hydrolase
Exons: 15
Source: RefSeq, a predicted model, not a curated record